This 84-nucleotide transfer RNA is filed under the name Buchnera aphidicola (Thelaxes californica). It matches the Rfam family "tRNA". Rfam says of the family: Transfer RNA (tRNA) molecules are approximately 80 nucleotides in length. Their secondary structure includes four short double-helical elements and three loops (D, anti-codon, and T loops). Further hydrogen bonds mediate the characteristic L-shaped molecular structure. tRNAs have two regions of fundamental functional importance: the anti-codon, which is responsible for specific mRNA codon recognition, and the 3' end, to which the tRNAs corresponding amino acid is attached (by aminoacyl-tRNA synthetases). tRNAs cope with the degeneracy of the genetic code in two manners: having more than one tRNA (with a specific anti-codon) for a particular amino acid; and 'wobble' base-pairing, i.e. permitting non-standard base-pairing at the 3rd anti-codon position. The record is from Rfam by way of RNAcentral. Lineage: Bacteria; Pseudomonadati; Pseudomonadota; Gammaproteobacteria; Enterobacterales; Erwiniaceae.
GGAGGAGUGGCCGAGUGGUUUAAGGCAGCGGUCUUGAAAACCGCCGAUGUUAUACAUCCGAGAGUUCGAAUCCCUCCUCCUCCA